RNAcentral lists this ribosomal RNA (1342 nucleotides) under Enterococcus faecium. RNAcentral describes it as "bacterial SSU rRNA". It matches the Rfam family "Bacterial small subunit ribosomal RNA", at positions 33 to 1339 of the family's 1533-position model. The record is from RNAcentral. Lineage: Bacteria; Bacillati; Bacillota; Bacilli; Lactobacillales; Enterococcaceae.
AGGCCCAUGAAGGGUACUGUACAUGCAAGUCGUACGCUUCUUUUUCCACCGGAGCUUGCUCCACCGGAAAAAGAGGAGUGGCGAACGGGUGAGUAACACGUGGGUAACCUGCCCAUCAGAAGGGGAUAACACUUGGAAACAGGUGCUAAUACCGUAUAACAAUCGAAACCGCAUGGUUUUGAUUUGAAAGGCGCUUUCGGGUGUCGCUGAUGGAUGGACCCGCGGUGCAUUAGCUAGUUGGUGAGGUAACGGCUCACCAAGGCCACGAUGCAUAGCCGACCUGAGAGGGUGAUCGGCCACAUUGGGACUGAGACACGGCCCAAACUCCUACGGGAGGCAGCAGUAGGGAAUCUUCGGCAAUGGACGAAAGUCUGACCGAGCAACGCCGCGUGAGUGAAGAAGGUUUUCGGAUCGUAAAACUCUGUUGUUAGAGAAGAACAAGGAUGAGAGUAACUGUUCAUCCCUUGACGGUAUCUAACCAGAAAGCCACGGCUAACUACGUGCCAGCAGCCGCGGUAAUACGUAGGUGGCAAGCGUUGUCCGGAUUUAUUGGGCGUAAAGCGAGCGCAGGCGGUUUCUUAAGUCUGAUGUGAAAGCCCCCGGCUCAACCGGGGAGGGUCAUUGGAAACUGGGAGACUUGAGUGCAGAAGAGGAGAGUGGAAUUCCAUGUGUAGCGGUGAAAUGCGUAGAUAUAUGGAGGAACACCAGUGGCGAAGGCGGCUCUCUGGUCUGUAACUGACGCUGAGGCUCGAAAGCGUGGGGAGCAAACAGGAUUAGAUACCCUGGUAGUCCACGCCGUAAACGAUGAGUGCUAAGUGUUGGAGGGUUUCCGCCCUUCAGUGCUGCAGCUAACGCAUUAAGCACUCCGCCUGGGGAGUACGACCGCAAGGUUGAAACUCAAAGGAAUUGACGGGGGCCCGCACAAGCGGUGGAGCAUGUGGUUUAAUUCGAAGCAACGCGAAGAACCUUACCAGGUCUUGACAUCCUUUGACCACUCUAGAGAUAGAGCUUCCCCUUCGGGGGCAAAGUGACAGGUGGUGCAUGGUUGUCGUCAGCUCGUGUCGUGAGAUGUUGGGUUAAGUCCCGCAACGAGCGCAACCUUUAUUGUUAGUUGCCAUCAUUCAGUUGGGCACUCUAGCAAGACUGCCGGUGACAAACCGGAAGGAAGGUGGGGGAUGACGUCAAAUCAUCAUGCCCCUUAUGACCUGGGCUACCAACUUGCUACAAUGGGGAAGUACAACAAGUUUGGGAAAUCCCCGAGGGUAAGUUAAUUCUUUAAAGCUUCUUUCACUUUCGGAUUGAAAGGUGGCACUCCCCUCGCUUGAAACCGGAAUUCCUUUGU